This 909-nucleotide ribosomal RNA is filed under the name uncultured bacterium. RNAcentral's name for it is "bacterial SSU rRNA". It matches the Rfam family "Bacterial small subunit ribosomal RNA", at positions 33 to 926 of the family's 1533-position model. The record is from RNAcentral.
ACGCUGGCGGCGUGCCUAAUACAUGCAAGUAGAACGCUGAAGGAGGAGCUUGCUCUUCUGGAUGAGUUGCGAACGGGUGAGUAACGCGUAGGUAACCUGCCUGGUAGCGGGGGAUAACUAUUGGAAACGAUAGCUAAUACCGCAUAACAGUAGAUGUUGCAUGACAUUUGCUUAAAAGGUGCAAUUGCAUCACUACCAGAUGGACCUGCGUUGUAUUAGCUAGUUGGUGGGGUAACGGCUCACCAAGGCGACGAUACAUAGCCGACCUGAGAGGGUGAUCGGCCACACUGGGACUGAGACACGGCCCAGACUCCUACGGGAGGCAGCAGUAGGGAAUCUUCGGCAAUGGACGGAAGUCUGACCGAGCAACGCCGCGUGAGUGAAGAAGGUUUUCGGAUCGUAAAGCUCUGUUGUAAGAGAAGAACGAGUGUGAGAGUGGAAAGUUCACACUGUGACGGUAUCUUACCAGAAAGGGACGGCUAACUACGUGCCAGCAGCCGCGGUAAUACGUAGGUCCCGAGCGUUGUCCGGAUUUAUUGGGCGUAAAGCGAGCGCAGGCGGUUAGAUAAGUCUGAAGUUAAAGGCUGUGGCUUAACCAUAGUACGCUUUGGAAACUGUUUAACUUGAGUGCAAGAGGGGAGAGUGGAAUUCCAUGUGUAGCGGUGAAAUGCGUAGAUAUAUGGAGGAACACCGGUGGCGAAAGCGGCUCUCUGGCUUGUAACUGACGCUGAGGCUCGAAAGCGUGGGGAGCAAACAGGACUAGAUACCCUGGUAGUCCACGCCGUAAACGAUGAGUGCUAGGUGUUAGACCCUUUCCGGGGUUUAGUGCCGUAGCUAACGCAUUAAGCACUCCGCCUGGGGAGUACGACCGCAAGGUUGAAACUCAAAGGAAUUGACGGGGGCCCGCAC